Long non-coding RNA from Dermochelys coriacea (leatherback sea turtle), 678 nucleotides. RefSeq lists it as uncharacterized. The record is from RefSeq and is a predicted model, not a curated record. The transcript is spliced from 2 exons. Lineage: Eukaryota; Metazoa; Chordata; Testudines; Dermochelyidae.
AACACCUAGCAGCAGCAGUAUAAAACAAGGAAAAAAAAAAAACACUAAAGUGAGCAAAAGUUGUACAUGAAACUAAAGUUAAAACUAAUAUUAAAAGUCCAUGCACAUAGGCCAAGAUCUGCUUCUGCAUCUCCUAAGUUGUUACACAGCCCACAAGGAUGCAGAAACCUUAAUAGCCCAGACAGUGCAAAUAUAGGUAGAGUACAAUUUAAAAACAAUAUUAUAUAUAAAAAUGUGUUAAAAGUUUAAGCACAAGAGUAAAGAAGUUCUACCUAGGUACUUCUGUGGUUCUAAUCACUGUGGCAUUUGAGGAAAUGGAGGUCAUAAAUACUGUAAUACCUCAAACAUUAAUGAAUUUAUCCUCCCAAAGUCCUUGUGAGAUAGGAAAGAAUUAUCUCCACUUUACAGGCAAGGAAUUGAGGAAGAAAGAUUAGGUGCUCAAUCCAACAUCCACUGGAAGUCUGUUGCAGAUCAGGGAACUUUGUCUACCAAAUUUCAGCCCAACAAUUUAACCAGGAGGCCAUCCUUCAAAAGUUAAACUUUUCCCUACCACUCAACACUCAUUUUACAGUACAGUGAGAGUAAAUACUGCUAUUCAGGAAUGCAUAGCUGUAGUGGAUAGCUUACUUUUGAAUUCCCUGACUAUUUAUAUAGUUAUCUCCACUAACUAAAACUAAG